AUCUAAAUAACUUAUAGUGAAGAGUGUAACAUUGAAGAUGUUGAAGAAGUUGAUUUAACUUUUAGAUA
Molecule: transfer RNA, 68 nt
Filed under: Pseudophyllus titan
Lineage: Eukaryota; Metazoa; Arthropoda; Insecta; Orthoptera; Tettigoniidae
Description: tRNA-Phe
Source: RNAcentral